AUUGAACGCUGGCGGCAUGCCUAACACAUGCAAGUCGAACGGCAGCACGGCAGUAGCAAUACUGUGGGUGGCGAGUGGCGGACGGGUGAGUAACGCGUGGGAACGUACCCUUUGCUACGGAAUAGCCUCGGGAAACUGGGAGUAAUACCGUAUGUGCCCUUCGGGGGAAAGAUUUAUCGGCAAAGGAUCGGCCCGCGUUGGAUUAGGUAGUUGGUGGGGUAAUGGCCUACCAAGCCGACGAUCCAUAGCUGGUUUGAGAGGAUGAUCAGCCACACUGGGACUGAGACACGGCCCAGACUCCUACGGGAGGCAGCAGUGGGGAAUCUUAGACAAUGGGUGCAAGCCUGAUCUAGCCAUGCCGCGUGAGCGAUGAAGGCCUUAGGGUUGUAAAGCUCUUUCAGUGGGGAAGAUAAUGACUGUACCCACAGAAGAAGCCCCGGCUAACUCCGUGCCAGCAGCCGCGGU
This 465-nucleotide ribosomal RNA is filed under the name uncultured bacterium. RNAcentral describes it as "bacterial SSU rRNA". It matches the Rfam family "Bacterial small subunit ribosomal RNA", at positions 30 to 521 of the family's 1533-position model. The record is from RNAcentral.